CAAACGACUCUCGGCAACGGAUAUCCCGGCUCUCGCAUCGAUGAAGAACGUAGCGAAAUGCGAUACUUGGUGUGAAUUGCAGAAUCCCGUGAACCAUCGAGUCUUUGAACGCAAGUUGCGCCCGAAGCCACUAGGCUGAGGGCACGUCUGCCUGGGUGUCACG
This 163-nucleotide ribosomal RNA is filed under the name Ferula decurrens. RNAcentral describes it as "5.8S ribosomal RNA". It matches the Rfam family "5.8S ribosomal RNA". From Rfam's summary of the family: 5.8S ribosomal RNA (5.8S rRNA) is a component of the large subunit of the eukaryotic ribosome. Lineage: Eukaryota; Viridiplantae; Streptophyta; Magnoliopsida; Apiales; Apiaceae. RNAcentral also lists the same sequence under 1 other name. The record is from RNAcentral.